Molecule: ribosomal RNA, 509 nt
Filed under: uncultured bacterium
Lineage: Bacteria
Description: partial 16S ribosomal RNA
Rfam family: Bacterial small subunit ribosomal RNA
Source: RNAcentral
GACGAACGCUGGCGGCGUGCUUAACACAUGCAAGUCGAACGGAAAGGCCCUGCUUUUGUGGGGUGCUCGAGUGGCGAACGGGUGAGUAACACGUGAGUAACCUGCCCUUGACUUUGGGAUAACUUCAGGAAACUGGGGCUAAUACCGGAUAGGAGCUCCUGCUGCAUGGUGGGGGUUGGAAAGUUUCGGCGGUUGGGGAUGGACUCGCGGCUUAUCAGCUUGUUGGUGGGGUAGUGGCUUACCAAGGCUUUGACGGGUAGCCGGCCUGAGAGGGUGACCGGCCACAGGGGUAGGUGGCGGCGGACGAGACGGCUAGGGGAGGGAGGGGAGGGGAGUAUGGCACGGUGGGGGGGAGCGGGAGGCGGCGCCGGCGGGUGCGGGAUGGCGGCGUGCGGGCUGUACGCCGCUUCAGGGUUGGAGGGGGCGUGAGGGAUGGUAAGGAGUAAGGAAGCACCGGCAAGCUACGUGCAAGCGGCCGCGGUAAUACUCGGAGGAGCACGCGUCUGAAC